Molecule: ribosomal RNA, 491 nt
Filed under: Trigonopterus rantepao
Lineage: Eukaryota; Metazoa; Arthropoda; Insecta; Coleoptera; Curculionidae
Description: partial large subunit ribosomal RNA
Source: RNAcentral
AUUUAACCUAAAGGCGCAAUGAAAGUGAAUCGUUCUCCUCCUCUUUCGGGAGGCGCGGAGAACGGAGGGAAGACGGACGGUGAUAAAUACACCCUUAAAAGUGGCCGUUCCGCAUUCCCGGGGCGUCUCGUUCUCAUUGCGAGAAGAGGCGCACCAAGAGCGUACACGCUGGGACCCGAAAGAUGGUGAACUAUGCCUGGUCAGGACGAAGUCAGGGGAAACCCUGAUGGAGGUCCGUAGCGAUUCUGACGUGCAAAUCGAUCGUCGGAACUGGGUAUAGGGGCGAAAGACUAAUCGAACCAUCUAGUAGCUGGUUCCCUCCGAAGUUUCCCUCAGGAUAGCUGGCGCUCGUAGCGCACGAGUCUCAUCCGGUAAAGCGAAUGAUUAGAGGCAUUGGGGUCGAAACGACCUCAACCUAUUCUCAAACUUUAAAUGGGUGAGAUCUCCGGCUUGCUCGAAAACGACGGGGGCGCGCGCGCGCGCGCRCGUAC